GAAACAGCAUUUUCACGGAUUAAAAAUCCGCGUGUCGGUGGUUCGAUUCCGCCCCUGGCCACCA
RNAcentral lists this transfer RNA (64 nucleotides) under Wenzhouxiangella limi. RNAcentral's name for it is "tRNA-Phe". The record is from RNAcentral. Lineage: Bacteria; Pseudomonadati; Pseudomonadota; Gammaproteobacteria; Chromatiales; Wenzhouxiangellaceae.